GGCGGCAUGCCUUACACAUGCAAGUCGAACGGUAACGCGGGGCAACCUGGCGACGAGUGGCGAACGGGUGAGUAAUACAUCGGAACGUGCCCAGUAGUGGGGGAUAGCCCGGCGAAAGCCGGAUUAAUACCGCAUACGACCUACGGGUGAAAGGGGGGGAUCGCAAGACCUCUCGCUAUUGGAGCGGCCGAUGUCAGAUUAGGUAGUUGGUGGGGUAAAGGCCUACCAAGCCUUCNAUCUGUAGCUGGUCUGAGAGGACGACCAGCCACACUGGGACUGAGACACGGCCCAGACUCCUACGGGAGGCAGCAGUGGGGAAUUCUGGACAAUGGGCGCAAGCCUGAUCCANCCAUGCCGCGUGCGGGAAGAAGGCCUUCGGGUUGUAAACCGCUUUUGUCAGGGAAGAAACGCUCUGGGCUAAUACCCCAGGGUAAUGACGGUACCUGAAGAAUAAGCACCGGCUAACUACGUGCCAGCAGCCGCGGUAAUACGUAGGGUGCAAGCGUUAAUCGGAAUUACUGGGCGUAAAGCGUGCGCAGGCGGUUGUGCAAGACAGGUGUGAAAUCCCCGGGCUUAACCUGGGAACUGCACUUGUGACUGCACAGCUUGAGUGCGGCAGAGGGGGAUGGAAUUCCGCGUGUA
Molecule: ribosomal RNA, 642 nt
Filed under: uncultured beta proteobacterium
Lineage: Bacteria; Pseudomonadati; Pseudomonadota; Betaproteobacteria
Description: bacterial SSU rRNA
Rfam family: Bacterial small subunit ribosomal RNA
Source: RNAcentral